Long non-coding RNA from Peromyscus maniculatus bairdii (prairie deer mouse), 1804 nucleotides. RefSeq lists it as uncharacterized. NCBI's taxonomy places the organism in Eukaryota, Metazoa, Chordata, Mammalia, Rodentia, Cricetidae. The record is from RefSeq and is a predicted model, not a curated record.
GCCCUCUAUCCCCAUCCCUGCCCCCCGCGCCCCACGGGAGACAAAGUCUCAUGUGAACAUUGUUUUUUUGUGGCUCCGUUUGGAACCUCAAGGGGCUCAGCAUAUUGUCCUUUGGGAACAAACCGCCCCCCUCCUCCCCCAAACUUGGGUCUUCCUUUAGCUGCAUUUAGGUUCUGGGAUUGAUCCCAAGGCCUACAGCAUGGUACGCAAGUAUCCCCAGUGCUUAGAAACUUAGGUCUUCUCCACUCUAAGAUUGGGGAUAGGAGAGCAACACCCACACCUGUCCUGUCGCAGGUGGCAUGCAGGAAAACCAGGUUCUGAUGGAGACUCUGUCUCUUCCCAGUGCAGUGAGGGAGGGCAGAAACCCUGGGACUCCUGGAGUAAUUCUGAGGUAAUCCUCCAGAGAGAGUUCUCUUUCCACUUGAACAGGUCUGCGUGGGGUGAAGGGGCUUGUUUACACCCCUGGACCCUGCUGCAGACCCAAGUGGCCCUGGAUGACUGUGUGUGUGUGUGUGUGUGUGUGUGUGUGUGUGUGUGUGUGUGUUCCUGCUCCUGAAGGAGCUGGGAUGUGGUGCCUGUACCAGAACCUGGAGCAGAGCAGUCAAGCCCUCAAGUGUCUCCUUCACCGCGUGUUCUGGUGGUGGGGAUUGUGACAUCGGUGCCCACAUGUAUCCAGGGGUACCAGGACUGAGAGUUCCCAGAAAGUGUUUGGCUGAGUGACCCCCAUGACCACUUGGUAUGAAGUGGAGACAAUCAACUUCUCUUGUAGACACGACACCUCAAAGUGCUACCCCAUACCUGUUUCAUCCUGUCCUGGACCUGUCCUGUCCUGGACUGUAUUCAUCAGAGGAAGCCUCCAGUGCUAAGAACCACACUCAGGGCAUUAUCCAUUCCAUACUACAUGCGUGUUCUGUCACUGAGCUAGACCCUCCGCCUUCCCUGAACCCUUCCCUGCCCGGCUCCCCGAAGCAUGGGGAGAGAGCUCUGUGGAAAUCCCUUCUCAGCAGUGAGGCCAGAUUACAAAGGGAGCCUAUCGUCCACCUCAGAAAGGAAGACUGGGGACCAGGACACACCUGAUUGGACUUCCGUAUAAGCUAACAACUGUCCCUGCGUUCAUUUGGACUCCAAGAGACUGUCUCCACUUUCUGACAAAAGUGUCUAAAUGUGUCUAUUCUUUCCUCUCCUAUAGAAAAGGAGACACCCAAGCCUCCAAGUGACAUUGGUUGGUUUCACACAUUCUCCACUUCCUUCUGAGGAAGUCCAGCCCAGACGCUGUGAAAGCCAGACGACUUUAUCCAAGGUCUAAGAACUGCAGCUGGGCAAAAUACAGAUCGGACAGUUACGAGGGAGUGCUCUACAGUGAUUCAUCACAGACUUGAAGUCCAGAGGGAGAGCCACAGUUCCGUGGGAGGAGGGCCACUGUCAGAGAGACACGCCUCUCACCCACUCGGCUACUGGUCCUGGCUGCACCCGAUUGGUUGAGCUGUCUGCACAGGUAAAAAGUUCGUUAGUCGUUUGUGAGCCUGUUGUGUCCAAUAAAAGACAUUAAUACCUUCCAAGGCCUUGGUGCAGCUCAAAGUUCUCAUUCCCAUGCCAUUUUCAUGGCCAAUUUAAGAAGUCUGUCUCCCUUGCUAGGAGGCUGCAUGCUUAUAUCCCAGCACUUGAAAGGUAGGAGGAGGAGGAGUUCCAGGUCACCUAGCUGUAUAGAGAGUUGGUUAGGCUGCAUGAAACCCUACCUCAAAAAACAAACAGUAAAUCCCUGGGCAGCGGCCCGAUAUUUGCAUAGAUCAGUAGUUCCUUAAAG